This 507-nucleotide ribosomal RNA is filed under the name Streptomyces sp. RNAcentral describes it as "bacterial SSU rRNA". It matches the Rfam family "Bacterial small subunit ribosomal RNA", at positions 942 to 1443 of the family's 1533-position model. Lineage: Bacteria; Bacillati; Actinomycetota; Actinomycetes; Kitasatosporales; Streptomycetaceae. The record is from RNAcentral.
UGGCUUAAUUGGACGCAACGCGAAGAACCUUACCAAGGCUUGACAUACCCCGGAAACGUCAGGAGACAGGCGCCCCCUUGUGGUCGGUGUACAGGUGGUGCAUGGCUGUCGUCAGCUCGUGUCGUGAGAUGUUGGGUUAAGUCCCGCAACGAGCGCAACCCUUGUCCCGUGUUGCCAGCAGGCCCUUGUGGUGCUGGGGACUCACGGGAGACCGCCGGGGUCAACUCGGAGGAAGGUGGGGACGACGUCAAGUCAUCAUGCCCCUUAUGUCUUGGGCUGCACACGUGCUACAAUGGCCGGUACAAUGAGCUGCGAUACCGCGAGGUGGAGCGAAUCUCAAAAAGCCGGUCUCAGUUCGGAUUGGGGUCUGCAACUCGACCCCAUGAAGUCGGAGUCGCUAGUAAUCGCAGAUCAGCAUUGCUGCGGUGAAUACGUUCCCGGGCCUUGUACACACCGCCCGUCACGUCACGAAAGUCGGUAACACCCGAAGCCGGUGGCCCAACCCCU